RNAcentral lists this long non-coding RNA (588 nucleotides) under Cricetulus griseus (Chinese hamster). RNAcentral describes it as "lncRNA (ENSCGRG00000026251.1)". The record is from RNAcentral. Lineage: Eukaryota; Metazoa; Chordata; Mammalia; Rodentia; Cricetidae.
CCUCAGAGGCUGUGACAGCCUCAACUCUGUUCCUCCCUCGUGCAGGUUCAGCAAUCAAGGGACAGAAGCUCACCUGUGACUCUGGAGGUCACCUGGGCUGAGAGGUCCUCUAUGAACAGUGUAGCCUGGGAUGGCUGCCUAGCUGCCUCCCUAGGUCAGGGAACCUGGGGCCUGGGCCCUCUGCAGGCUUGUGGGGCCCUGACUCAGACCCCAGUCAUGUUCAGUGAGCAGCUUGAUCUCUCCUGGGGCCGACACCGGCUGCAGCAGAAUGUGACAUAUGAGAAGCGUCAGCUGCCCCAGUGGGACAAGGUCCACGCAGAGGUCACACUAGAGCACAUCCUCUCGGCCCCUUGUGCCAAGCACAGCUUCCAAGGGACAGUGGAAACAGACUACAUGCACAAGUUACGUCACACCCUCCACCUGGGGCUUUGCAACUUGCCCAGGGCCCUCUCAUUCUCUGGGGAGCACAGUCUGGAUCAGGGUGCUCUCCUGCUGCGUUCUCAAUACCAUCUGGGUCUUGCUCCAGAACCUGACCAGGGCCUGCACUUUAGCCUCACCCUCUACAACCACAGCCGACCUAAUGCACCG